RNAcentral lists this ribosomal RNA (253 nucleotides) under uncultured bacterium. RNAcentral describes it as "partial 16S ribosomal RNA". It matches the Rfam family "Bacterial small subunit ribosomal RNA", at positions 524 to 776 of the family's 1533-position model. The record is from RNAcentral.
GACGGGGGAUGCAAGUGUUAUCCGGAAUCACUGGGCGUAAAGCGUCUGCAGGUGGUUUCCUAAGUCCACUGUUAAACCUUGAGGCUCAACCUCAAAUCUGCAUUGGAAACUAGGAGACUUGAGUAUAGUAGGGGUAGAGGGAGUUUCCAGUGGAGCGGUGAAAUGCGUAGAUAUUGGAAAGAACACCGAUGGCGAAGGCACUCUACUGGGCUAUUACUGACACUCAGAGACGAAAGCUAGGGGAGCAAAUGGG